GGGGAGCCCAAGCCAAAGGGGAUUCUACCCUCCUUCCGCUGGAUGCCACGCUGUUGACAAACUAAUCUUCCUGAGCUAUUGUUUCUAUCGAGUCUGUCCCUGCUACAAAGCGCUACUUGCUCAACAUCUCUUUCCAGAAGAGCCUAACAAACUUUUAGCAGUAUUUCGGGUGAUUCGUGCGCACUCUGGCGUUUGAGAUGCUGUCCUCCAGCAACAGCAUUGAGAGAUUUCCGUAUUCUGAUCCCAGCCCACCAGCUCCUGCCAGAUGCUUUCUUACUACUCAACCCCACAGUUCCCUGUGCUCUAUUAGUUCCCUCUCCAGUUGUAUUCUCGCGUUUGUUCUAUAAGGUCUAAAGUUGGCAGACAGUGGGCCCAAAGCAGGCUGCAGUUGUAUUGUGUUUAGCCCACAUGGGCUUUU
Molecule: long non-coding RNA, 418 nt
Organism: Phyllostomus discolor (pale spear-nosed bat)
Lineage: Eukaryota; Metazoa; Chordata; Mammalia; Chiroptera; Phyllostomidae
Exons: 3
Source: RefSeq, a predicted model, not a curated record